UAAUUGCGAAUGAACAAGGAAUUGCUCAGCUUGAAAAUUGGGGCCUUUGGCUUUGAAUUGUAAUUUUGAAAUGUAUUGCCAAUGGAGGCGCAGGUGCAAGCCUAUUGAAAGAAAGCGUCAAUGAGGGUGAAAUUCCUUUUUGUCAUUUGCAGUCCUCUGUGCACGGUAUAUAUUUGACGAGUCACACUCCUCGGCAUUGGAAUGCAAAGUGGGUGGUAAAUUCCAUGUAAAGGUAAAUAUAUUAUUGAGACUGAUAGCAAACAAGUACCAUGAGGGAAAUAUGAAAAGGACUUUGAAAAGAGAAUUAAAAGAGUCUGCAUUUGCUGAACAGAAAGCAAACAGAAUUGAAUUUGCUUGGCGAGAUUGUUGUGCCCACUCUAUCAUUCAUAUGGUGGGUGUGGGUGCGAUGGUUCUUACUUUGGUUGCCAGCUUCUAUUUCUGCAAAUCGUUACACUUGCACAUGAAUGGUAAUUUGCCUGCGGGUAUUGGAAUGCAUGUGUUUGCAAUGAUUUGAGAUUUGUGGUAUGUGUCUGGUGUUUGUGUAUAUGCUCUUUUGGCAAAAAGGAAUUGUUGUUCAUUGAGCAUUGCAAACCCUUGCGCAUUAAUGCUGGCAAAAUGUUUCUGCUUGACCCGUCUUGAAACACGGACCAAGGAGUCUAACAGAUGUGCAAGUUCGUGGGUGGCAAACCUUUUUGCGCAAUGAAAGUAUUGGCUGGGAUAUUUGCACCAGCAGCCGACCGAUUAGCAGACAGAGGUUUGAGUUUGAGCAUAUUUAUUAGGACCCGAAAGAUGGUGAACUAUGCCUGAACAGAAUGAAUUCAGAGGAAACUCUGAUGGAGGUUCGUAUCGAUACUGACGUGCAAAUCGUUCGUCAUACUUGGGUAUAGGGGCGAAAGACUAAUCGAACCAUCUAGUAGCUGGUUCCCUCCGAAGUUUCCCUCAGGAUAGCUGGAGUUGCACAGUUUUAUCAGGUAAAGCGAAUGAUUAGAGGAAUUGGGGACACGCUGUCCUUGACCUAUUCUCAAACUUUAAAUGGGUAAGAUGCAAUGGUUGCUUUAUUGAACUUUUGGAAUAAAUGGCAAUAUCAGGUGGGCCAUUUUUGGUAAGCAGAACUGGCGAUGAGGGAUGAACCUAACGUUGGGUUAAGGUGCUUAAUUGCUUGCUCAUUAGAUACCAGAAAGGGUGUUGGUUCAUUUUAACAGCAGGACGGUGGUCAUGGAAGUCGAAAUCCGCUAAGGAGUGUGUAACAACUCACCUGCCGAAUGGACUAGCCCCGAAAAUGGAUGGCGCUCAAGCGGGUGACCGAUACCCAACCACUGUUGCAAAAUUUUUCAGUGUGUAGGAGGGCAUGGCGGUUUGUGAUGCAGCCUUUGGUGAAAA
Molecule: ribosomal RNA, 1380 nt
Filed under: Alexandrium minutum
Lineage: Eukaryota; Dinophyceae; Gonyaulacales; Pyrocystaceae
Description: partial large subunit ribosomal RNA
Rfam family: Eukaryotic large subunit ribosomal RNA
Source: RNAcentral